Molecule: ribosomal RNA, 1576 nt
Filed under: Calocalanus pavo
Lineage: Eukaryota; Metazoa; Arthropoda; Copepoda; Calanoida; Calocalanidae
Description: SSU rRNA
Rfam family: Eukaryotic small subunit ribosomal RNA
Source: RNAcentral
GGCUCAUUAAAUCACACCUAAUCUACAGGAUAAUUCAAGUUACUUGGAUAACUGCGGUAAUUCUGGAGCUAAUACAUGCUACAAACUCCGAACUGACGUGAGGAGUGCUUUUAUUAGAUCAAAACCAAACGGCUUCGGCUGUACUCUUGGUGACUCUGAAUAACUUUUGGCAGAUCGUAUAGCCUUGCGCUGGCGACAUAUCCUUCGAAGGUGUGCCCUAUCAACUGUCGACUGUGGCAUAGACGCCCACAGUGGUUUUGACGGGUAACGGGGAAUCAGGGUUCGAUUCCGGAGAGGGAGCCUUAAAAACGGCUACCACAUCUAAGGAAGGCAGCAGGCACGCAAAUUACCCAAUGAACGAAGUUCGAGGUAGUGACGAAAAAUAACGAUUGCGGACUCAUCCGAGGCCCGCAAAUUGGAAUGAGUACACUUUAAAACCGUCCCCGAGGAUCUAUUGGAGGGCAAGUCUGGUGCCAGCAGCCGCGGUAAUUCCAGCUCCAAUAGCGUAUAUUAAAGUUGUUGUGGUUAAAAAGCUCGUAGUUGGAUCUCAACAGCCCUGGGUCGGUCAGUUUGUCUAGMACUGACCUCUGAGUUGUGGUUUUGCCGGAGGUCGAGGGGUGCUCUUAAUCGAGUGUCCCCCGGUGCCGGCAGGUUUACUUUGAAAAAAUUAGAGUGUUCAAAGCAGGCUGUUAUGCCUGAAUAUUCGUGCAUGGAAUAAUAGAAUAGGAUGUCGAUCUUAUUUUGUUGGUUUUCGAGACUCGACAUAAUGAUUAAUAGGGACAGUCGGGGGCAUUUGUAUUGAGACGCUAGAGGUGAAAUUCUUGGACCGUCUCAAGACAAACUACUGCGAAAACGUUUGCCAAGAAUGUUUUCAUUAAUCAAGAACGAAAGUUAGAGGUUCGAAGGCGAUUCGAUACCCCCCUAGUUCUAACCAUAAACGAUGCCAGCUAGCGAUCUGCCGACGUUUUUACUGUAGACUCGGCAGGAAGCUUCCGGGAAACCAAAGCAUUUGGGUUCCAGGGGAAGUAUGGUUGCAAAGCUGAAACUUAAAGGAAUUGACGGAAGGGCACCACCAGGAGUGGAGCCUGUGGCUUAAUUUGACUCAACACGGGAAAUCUCACCAGGCCCGGACACUGGAAGGAUUGACAGAUUGAUAGCUCUUUCUUGAUUCGGUGGGUGGUGGUGCAUGGCCGUUCUUAGUUGGUGGAGUGAUUUGUCUGGUUAAUUCCGAUAACGAACGAGACUCUGUCCUGCUAACUAGUGGUGUUCUCUUUGCUGUCACACCAAUUCUUCUUAGAGGGACUGGCGACUCUUAGUCGCACGAGAUUGAGCAAUAACAGGUCUGUGAUGCCCUUAGAUGUUCUGGGCCGCACACGCGCUACACUGAAUAGAUCAGCGUGUCMCCCUUUCCGAAAGGAACGGGUAAACCGCUGAACCCUAUUCGUGGUAGGGAUCGGGGCUUGCAAUUAUUCCCCGUGAACCAGGAAUUCCCAGUAGGCGCAGGUCAUAAGCCUGCGUCGAUUACGUCCCUGCCCUUUGUACACACCGCCCGUCGCUACUACCGAUUGAACGUUUU